Molecule: ribosomal RNA, 1378 nt
Filed under: Klebsiella pneumoniae
Lineage: Bacteria; Pseudomonadati; Pseudomonadota; Gammaproteobacteria; Enterobacterales; Enterobacteriaceae
Description: partial 23S ribosomal RNA
Rfam family: Bacterial large subunit ribosomal RNA
Source: RNAcentral
CCGGCGAUGUCCGAAUGGGGAAACCCAGUGCAAUUCGUUGCACUAUCGUUAACUGAAUACAUAGGUUAACGAGGCGAACCGGGGGAACUGAAACAUCUAAGUACCCCGAGGAAAAGAAAUCAACCGAGAUUCCCCCAGUAGCGGCGAGCGAACGGGGAGCAGCCCAGAGUCUGAAUCAGCUUGUGUGUUAGUGGAACGGUCUGGAAAGUCCGACGGUACAGGGUGAUAGUCCCGUACACCAAAAUGCACAGGCUGUGAACUCGAAGAGUAGGGCGGGACACGUGGUAUCCUGUCUGAAUAUGGGGGGACCAUCCUCCAAGGCUAAAUACUCCUGACUGACCGAUAGUGAACCAGUACCGUGAGGGAAAGGCGAAAAGAACCCCGGCGAGGGGAGUGAAAAAGAACCUGAAACCGUGUACGUACAAGCAGUGGGAGCACCUUCGGGUGUGACUGCGUACCUUUUGUAUAAUGGGUCAGCGACUUAUAUUCUGUAGCAAGGUUAACCGUAUAGGGGAGCCGCAGGGAAACCGAGUCUUAACUGGGCGUUAAGUUGCAGGGUAUAGACCCGAAACCCGGUGAUCUAGCCAUGGGCAGGUUGAAGGUUGGGUAACACUAACUGGAGGACCGAACCGACUAAUGUUGAAAAAUUAGCGGAUGACUUGUGGCUGGGGGUGAAAGGCCAAUCAAACCGGGAGAUAGCUGGUUCUCCCCGAAAGCUAUUUAGGUAGCGCCUCGUGAACUCAUCUUCGGGGGUAGAGCACUGUUUCGGCUAGGGGGUCAUCCCGACUUACCAACCCGAUGCAAACUACGAAUACCGAAGAAUGUUAUCACGGGAGACACACGGCGGGUGCUAACGUCCGUCGUGAAGAGGGAAACAACCCAGACCGCCAGCUAAGGUCCCAAAGUCAUGGUUAAGUGGGAAACGAUGUGGGAAGGCACAGACAGCCAGGAUGUUGGCUUAGAAGCAGCCAUCAUUUAAAGAAAGCGUAAUAGCUCACUGGUCGAGUCGGCCUGCGCGGAAGAUGUAACGGGGCUAAACCAUGCACCGAAGCUGCGGCAGCGACACUAUGUGUUGUUGGGUAGGGGAGCGUUCUGUAAGCCUGCGAAGGUGUGCUGUGAGGCAUGCUGGAGGUAUCAGAAGUGCGAAUGCUGACAUAAGUAACGAUAAAGCGGGUGAAAAGCCCGCUCGCCGGAAGACCAAGGGUUCCUGUCCAACGUUAAUCGGGGCAGGGUGAGUCGACCCCUAAGGCGAGGCCGAAAGGCGUAGUCGAUGGGAAACAGGUUAAUAUUCCUGUACUUGGUGUUACUGCGAAGGGGGGACGGAGAAGGCUAUGUUAGCCGGGCGACGGUUGUCCCGGUUUAAGCAUGUAGGCUGGUU